RNAcentral lists this ribosomal RNA (256 nucleotides) under uncultured bacterium. RNAcentral's name for it is "partial 16S ribosomal RNA". It matches the Rfam family "Bacterial small subunit ribosomal RNA", at positions 521 to 776 of the family's 1533-position model. The record is from RNAcentral.
UAAUACAGGGGGGGCAAGCGUUGUUCGGAAUUACUGGGCGUAAAGGGUUCGUAGGUGGCCACUUAAGUCAGACGUGAAAUCCCUCAGCUUAACUGGGGAACUGCGUCUGAUACUGAGUGGCUUGAGUGCAGGAGAGGGAUGCGGAAUUCCAGGUGUAGCGGUGAAAUGCGUAGAUAUCUGGAGGAACACCGGUGGCGAAGGCGGCAUCCUGGACUGUAACUGACACUGAGGAACGAAAGCCAGGGGAGCAAACGGG